GCUUUCUGGGACCCCGGGCGCUGCUGACCACUUCCUCCUCGGCUCCUUCCUGGCUUCCCACCACGGGCGCUGUCCAGGCGCUUGAGCGCCCCGCAGUCAGCACCGGCAGAACAGGAUCUGAUGUAGAACUCUCAGCUUCUUCUCCAGCACCAUGUCUGCCUGCACACCACCAUGCUUCCUGCCAUGACGAUAAUGGACUAAACUUCGGAAACUGAUAUUUCUUGCUGUCUUGAGUUCCUGCUGCCUGGCCAUCCCAACAUGAUGGACUUCUUUUCUCCCCUAAAUUGCUUGUUGAUGAGGUAUUUUAUCACAGUAACAGAAAUGAAAUUGUAACAGGGCCCCAGACCUUAGUAGUCUUAGUAGACCUUAGCACAACUGACUCCAUGUGGAAGUACCAUUCAGGCUGUAAAAUACGUAGAAAGUACCACCUGCCCAAACUAAAACAAGGGCGGAAUCCAUCAAAGUCCAUAGUUCCAGGAGAGUCUCUAAAUGUACUAACCUUGCUUUUUGGCUUCUGUAGUUCUGC
Long non-coding RNA from Peromyscus californicus insignis, 526 nucleotides. RefSeq lists it as uncharacterized. The transcript is spliced from 3 exons. The record is from RefSeq and is a predicted model, not a curated record. Lineage: Eukaryota; Metazoa; Chordata; Mammalia; Rodentia; Cricetidae.